This is a non-coding RNA of Vicia faba (fava bean), 387 nucleotides long. The record is from the annotation of a GenBank genome assembly. NCBI's taxonomy places the organism in Eukaryota, Viridiplantae, Streptophyta, Magnoliopsida, Fabales, Fabaceae.
CAUAGCUCAAGUUACAUUCAAAAUUGCGAGACAAAUAUCAUUCAUCAUCAUUUUGAAAAGAAUGCCAUUGUCAAAUUCGAGGAUUCCAAAUUCUACAUCAUCCGCCGCUUAAGGUUAUCAUAUGUCCAUUACAAGAAAAUUCCAAGUACAAAAUCAUUACAUUCCAUCCACCAACAACAUCACAAAAAUCAAGUACUUUGCAUAGAGACAUUACAUCCAAAAAAAGAUCACAAAGGAACCUAUCCUAAACCUAUUGUUUCCAAACUCCUAAUCUUCAAGUUUCGGCAUACACCAUCAAUUUCCAAACCUUCAAGUGAAUCCAUCUUCAUAUUCACCUCGAUGGCUUCACUAUCAAGAUCCAUCUUUGGCCCAUACAAUUUAACUUGA